Molecule: ribosomal RNA, 490 nt
Filed under: uncultured bacterium
Lineage: Bacteria
Description: partial 16S ribosomal RNA
Rfam family: Bacterial small subunit ribosomal RNA
Source: RNAcentral
GAUGAACGCUAGCGACAGGCUUAACACAUGCAAGUCGAGGGGCAGCAUGGUCUUAGCUUGCUAAGACUGAUGGCGACCGGCGCACGGGUGCGUAACGCGUAUGCAACUUGCCUCACAGAGGGGGAUAACCCGUCGAAAAACGGACAACUACCGCGUACACACCAUCUUGGGCAUCUAAGGAAGAGGAAAUGAAAUUCGCCGGGAAAUAGGCAUGCGUCCCAUUUGCUUGUUGGGAGGGGAAAGGCUCACCAAGGCGACGAUGGGUAGGGGAACUGAGAGGGUGCACCCCCACACUUGUACUGAGACACGGACCAGACUGCUACGGGCGGCAGCAGUGCGGGAUAUUGGUCAAGGGGCGAGAGCCUGAACCAGCCAAGUCGCGUGAAGGAUGACUGUCUUGUGGAUUGUAGACUUCUUUUAUACGGGAAUAACAAGAGUCACGUGUGACUCCCUGACUGUACCGUAUGAAUAAGCAUCGGCUAACUACGUG